UCUCCUACGGGAGGCAGCAGUGGGGAAUUUUGGACAAUGGGCGCAAGCCUGAUCCAGCAAUGCCGCGUGCAGGAUGAAGGCCUUCGGGUUGUAAACUGCUUUUGUACGGAGCGAAAAGGCUCUCUCUAAUACAGGGGGCUCAUGACGGUACCGUAAGAAUAAGCACCGGCUAACUACGUGCCAGCAGCCGCGGUAAUACGUAGGGUGCAAGCGUUAAUCGGAAUUACUGGGCGUAAAGCGUGCGCAGGCGGUUAUGUAAGACAGAUGUGAAAUCCCCGGGCUCAACCUGGGAACUGCAUUUGUGACUGCAUAGCUAGAGUACGGCAGAGGGGGAUGGAAUUCCGCGUGUAGCAGUGAAAUGCGUAGAUAUGCGGAGGAACACCGAUGGCGAAGGCAAUCCCCUGGGCCUGUACUGACGCUCAUGCACGAAAGCGUGGGGAGCAAACAGGAUUAGAUACCCGUGUAGUC
Molecule: ribosomal RNA, 468 nt
Filed under: uncultured Comamonadaceae bacterium
Lineage: Bacteria; Pseudomonadati; Pseudomonadota; Betaproteobacteria; Burkholderiales; Comamonadaceae
Description: bacterial SSU rRNA
Rfam family: Bacterial small subunit ribosomal RNA
Source: RNAcentral